UAAGGUGCCUAUAGUCCCUAAAUAUAUACCUUCUUUUUCUUGCCUCUCCAUCCCUUGGUUUUUUUUUUUUUUUCUUUAACAAUCUCUAUCCCUUGUUUCUUCCUCAAUUUUAGGCGCUCUCUCCCUCUCUCCAGCACUCUGUUCUCUCACAUCGAAAGGUUCUGCAAACUGCAUCAGGCUGACUAAGGAAAAUGGUUUUUGGUUUAAUCAAUGCCAAUCCCAUUGUCUAUGAAAAAAAGGAGCGUCAAACUAGAACUGCACCGAAUGAUGUCGAUGAGUAUGCUGUGGAGCCCAUUGACCAACUAGAAAUUUUUGAUAUCCUUUGAGUUUGAUUAUUACAUUUGAUGCUCUGUCAUGUCCACUGUGUUUUGUCAGUUAUAAAUCUCAUAAAUCGUAGGUUUCUUUGCAAAUCUUGGUGUUGAAAUUAAAAUUCACAUGUAUGUAAGUGUAUUAGAAAGGAAUAUGUAGUUUAGAUAUGUUGAUCAAAUCAAACUACAUGGGUUGAAGUUCCUAUUCAGCGAAGUUUUGCUGCUUCUCUUGCCCUGAGAGGCAUAACAAAGGGAGCAGAAGCAAUUGUAAGGAAGCACGUGCCGCUAUGUGGUUCAAAACUUUUAUGAGUAUGUAAAACUUCUGUAGCAACUUUUGAAUAUUAAUGACAUGUUAUAGAAAUUAUCUUGAAA
Molecule: non-coding RNA, 680 nt
Organism: Camellia sinensis
Lineage: Eukaryota; Viridiplantae; Streptophyta; Magnoliopsida; Ericales; Theaceae
Source: RefSeq, a predicted model, not a curated record